AUUCCUACGGGGGGCAGCAGCCGCGGUAAUACGUAGGGGGCAAGCGUUAUCCGGAUUUACUGGGUGUAAAGGGAGCGCAGACGGCUGUGCAAGUCUGGAGUGAAAGGCGGGGGCCCAACCCCCGGACUGCUCUGGAAACUGUAAAGCUGGAGUGCAGGAGAGGUAAGCGGAAUUCCUAGUGUAGCGGUGAAAUGCGUAGAUAUUAGGAGGAACACCAGUGGCGAAGGCGGCUUACUGGACUGCAACUGACGUUGAGGCUCGAAAGCGUGGGGAGCAAACAGGAU
RNAcentral lists this ribosomal RNA (284 nucleotides) under uncultured bacterium. Its description in RNAcentral is "partial 16S ribosomal RNA". It matches the Rfam family "Bacterial small subunit ribosomal RNA", at positions 497 to 778 of the family's 1533-position model. The record is from RNAcentral.